UCCUCAGUAGCUCAAUAGGCAGAGCAACCGGCUGUUAACCGGUGGGUUCUAGGUUCAAGUCCUAGCUGAGGAGCCA
This 76-nucleotide transfer RNA is filed under the name Anaerolineae bacterium. Its description in RNAcentral is "tRNA-Asn". It matches the Rfam family "tRNA". From Rfam's summary of the family: Transfer RNA (tRNA) molecules are approximately 80 nucleotides in length. Their secondary structure includes four short double-helical elements and three loops (D, anti-codon, and T loops). The record is from RNAcentral. Lineage: Bacteria; Bacillati; Chloroflexota; Anaerolineae.